This 100-nucleotide small nuclear RNA is filed under the name Marchantia polymorpha subsp. ruderalis. The record is from RNAcentral. Lineage: Eukaryota; Viridiplantae; Streptophyta; Marchantiopsida; Marchantiales; Marchantiaceae.
AAAUUUAAAAUUUAUACAUUAUUGGAACGAUACAGAAAAGAUUAACAUGGCACUUGUGCAAGGAUGACACGCACAAUCCUAUCAAAAAUAAAACGAAUAU